RNAcentral lists this ribosomal RNA (630 nucleotides) under uncultured bacterium. Its description in RNAcentral is "bacterial SSU rRNA". It matches the Rfam family "Bacterial small subunit ribosomal RNA", at positions 122 to 770 of the family's 1533-position model. The record is from RNAcentral.
UAACCUGCCUCAUACAGGGGGAUAGCAGCUGGAAACGGCUGGUAAUACCGCAUAAGCGCACAGUACCACAUGGUACAGUGUGAAAAACUCCGGUGGUAUGAGAUGGACCCGCGUCUGAUUAGCUUGUUGGCGGGGUAACGGCCCACCAAGGCGACGAUCAGUAUCCGACCUGAGAGGGUGACCGGCCACAUUGGGGCUGAGACACGGCCCAGACUCCUACGGGAGGCAGCAGUGGGGAAUAUUGCACAAUGGAGGAAACUCUGAUGCAGCGACGCCGCGUGAGUGAAGAAGUAGUUCGCUAUGUAAAGCUCUAUCAGCAGGGAAGAUAGUGACGGUACCUGAGUAAGAAGCUCCGGCUAAAUACGUGCCAGCAGCCGCGGUAAUACGUAUGGAGCAAGCGUUAUCCGGAUUUACUGGGUGUAAAGGGAGUGUAGGUGGCCAGGCAAGUCAGAAGUGAAAGCCCGGGGCUCAACCCCGGGACUGCUUUUGAAACUGCAGGGCUAGAGUGCAGGAGGGGCAAGUGGAAUUCCUAGUGUAGCGGUGAAAUGCGUAGAUAUUAGGAGGAACACCAGUGGCGAAGGCGGCUUGCUGGACUGUAACUGACACUGAGGCUCGAAAGCGUGGGGAGCA